Molecule: ribosomal RNA, 253 nt
Filed under: uncultured bacterium
Lineage: Bacteria
Description: partial 16S ribosomal RNA
Rfam family: Bacterial small subunit ribosomal RNA
Source: RNAcentral
UACAGAGGUCCCAAGCGUUGUUCGGAUUCACUGGGCGUAAAGGGUGCGUAGGCGGUCGGGUAAGUCUGAUGUGAAAUCUCACAGCUUAACUGUGAAACUGCAUUGGAUACUAUCCGGCUCGAGGAAUGGAGGGGAGACUGGAAUACUUGGUGUAGCAGUGAAAUGCGUAGAUAUGUGGAGGAACACCGAUGGCGAAGGCAGCCCCCUGGGUCAAGAUUGACGCUCAUGCACGAAAGCGUGGGGAGCAAACAGG